RNAcentral lists this microRNA (20 nucleotides) under Bos taurus (domestic cattle). RNAcentral's name for it is "bta-miR-2284l". Lineage: Eukaryota; Metazoa; Chordata; Mammalia; Artiodactyla; Bovidae. The record is from miRBase by way of RNAcentral.
AAAAGUUGGUUCGGGUUUUU